UGUUAAUAAUUUAUAUAAAAUAUUUUGAUGAAUAUUUAUAUAAUAUUAACAUAAUUCAUAUUACUAUAUAUUUUAGUAUAUGAAAUUUUACUUUGAGAAAAUUAGAGUGCUUAAAGCAGGCAUAUGCCUUGAAUACUCCAGCAUGGAAUAAUAUUAAAGACUUUUAUCUUUCUUAUUGGUUCUAAGAUAAGAAUAAUGACUAAUAGGGACAGUUGGGGGCAUUUGUAUUUAACAGUCAGAGGUGAAAUUCUUAGAUUUGUUAAAGACAAACUAAUGCGAAAGCAUUUGCCAAGGAUGUUUUCAUUAAUCAAGAACGAAAGUUAGGGGAUCGAAGACGAUCAGAUACCGUCGUAGUCUUAACCAUAAACUAUGCCAACUAGCGAUUGGAGGUUGUU
RNAcentral lists this ribosomal RNA (395 nucleotides) under Cryptosporidium environmental sequence. RNAcentral describes it as "SSU rRNA". It matches the Rfam family "Eukaryotic small subunit ribosomal RNA", at positions 665 to 1064 of the family's 1831-position model. The record is from RNAcentral. Lineage: Eukaryota; Apicomplexa; Conoidasida; Eucoccidiorida; Cryptosporidiidae.